RNAcentral lists this ribosomal RNA (449 nucleotides) under uncultured bacterium. RNAcentral describes it as "partial 16S ribosomal RNA". It matches the Rfam family "Bacterial small subunit ribosomal RNA", at positions 29 to 523 of the family's 1533-position model. The record is from RNAcentral.
AGCGAACGCUGGCGGCAGGCCUAACACAUGCAAGUCGAGCGCCGUAGCAAUCCGGGGCGGCAGACGGGAGAGUAACACGUGGGAACGUACCCUUUGGUUCGGAACAACCCAGGGAAACUUGGGCUAACACCGGAUCAGCCCUUACGAGGAAAGAUUCAUCGCCGAAGGAUCGGCCCGCGUCUGAUUAGCUAGGUGGUGGGGUCAUGGCCCACCAAGGCGACGAUCGGUAGCUUGUCUGAGAGGAUGAUGAGCCUCACUGGGACUGAGACACGGCACAGACUCCUACGGGAGGCAGCAGUGGGGAAUAUUGGACAAUGGGCGCAAGCCUGAUCCAGCCAUGCCGCGUGGGUGAUGAAGGCCUUAGGGUUGUAAAGCCCUUUCGGCGGGGAAGAUAAUGACGGUACCCGCAGAAGAAGCCCCGGCUAACUUCGUGCCAGCCGCCGCAGUAA